Molecule: long non-coding RNA, 400 nt
Organism: Passer domesticus (house sparrow)
Lineage: Eukaryota; Metazoa; Chordata; Aves; Passeriformes; Passeridae
Exons: 4
Source: RefSeq, a predicted model, not a curated record
GGUUUGCAGGUGCAGUGGAGAAAACAGAAACCCAGAGAGAGAUCUGAUGGUCAUCAGUAUAAGUGAGCUAAUUGAGGAUGUCAAGAUUGGAGGCAUGCUGGACUGCAGUAAUCAUUCACUGGUGGAACCUGCAAUCCUGAGCAUAUGGAUUAGGUCACUGGCUUGAAUUCUGGAAACAAGAUAUUCAUGAGGGACCUGCGUGGGGAAUUUACAUCUCAGUGCAGAGUUUUCCUCUCCAUUUGUCAACAUACGAGAAACAAAUAAGGAGUAACUUCUCUAUACCACUCUCAAGUGGCUUUUAGAGCUCUGAAGACAACUCAACAUAUUAAUGGUUUGAUAUUUAUAAGAUUGUUCUUCUGAAGGAUCAGCAAGAUAAACAGAAGAUGAAAUGCAAAUAUCU